CCUACGGGGGGCAGCAGUGAGGAAUAUUGGUCAAUGGACGAUAGUCUGAACCAGCCAAGUAGCGUGAAGGAUGACUGCCCUAUGGGUUGUAAACUUCUUUUAUAAAGGAAUAAAACGAGGCACGUGUGCCUUUUUGCAUGUACUUUAUGAAUUAGGAUCGGCUAACUCCGUGCCAGCAGCCGCGGUAAUACGGAGGAUCCGAGCGUUAUCCGGAUUUAUUGGGUUUAAAGGGAGCGUAGAUGGGUUGUUAAGUCAGUUGUGAAAGUUUGUGGCUCAACCGUAAAAUUGCAGUUGAUACUGGCAGUCUGGAGUACAGUAGAGGUAAGCGGAAUUCGUGGUGUAGCGGUGAAAUGCUUAGAUAUCACGAAGAACCCCGAUUGCGAAGGCAGCUUACUAAACUGUGACUGACAUUGAUGCUCGAAAGUGUGGGUAUCAAACAGGAUUAGAUACCCCAGUAGUC
Molecule: ribosomal RNA, 460 nt
Filed under: uncultured bacterium
Lineage: Bacteria
Description: partial 16S ribosomal RNA
Rfam family: Bacterial small subunit ribosomal RNA
Source: RNAcentral